Molecule: ribosomal RNA, 802 nt
Filed under: uncultured bacterium
Lineage: Bacteria
Description: bacterial SSU rRNA
Rfam family: Bacterial small subunit ribosomal RNA
Source: RNAcentral
GGGCGUAGCAAUACGUCAGUGGCGAACGGGUGAGUAAUGAAUCGCUAAUGUACCCCGGACUCCGGGAUAGCUGCCCGAAAGGGCAGGUAAUACCGGAUGACAUACUCGAUAGGCAUCUAUUGAGUCUCAAAGGUCCGCCGGUCUGGGCGCAGGCGAUUUCGUAUCAGCUAGUUGGUGCGGGUAACGGCCCACCAAGGCGACGACGCGUAGCCGGACUGAGAGGUUGGCCGGCCACAUCGGGACUGAGACACUGCCCGGACUCCUACGGGGGGCUGCAGUAACGAAUCUUCCCCAAUGCACGAAAGUGUGAGGGAGCGACGCCGCGUGUGGGACGAAGUCCUUCGGGAUGUAAACCACUGUCAGGGGGUACCAAGUUCUGAGGACCCCCAGAGGAAGAGGCGGCUAACUCUGUGCCAGCAGCCGCGGUAAGACAGAGGCCUCAAGCGUUAGGCGGAAUCACUGGGCUUAAAGCGUGUGUAGGCGGAUCGUUAAGUGUCUUGUGAAAUCCCACGGCUCAACCGUGGAACUGCUGGGCAUACUGGCGAUCUUGGGCCAUUCAGGGGCGACUGGAACAAGCGGUGGAGCGGUGAAAUGCGUAGAUAUCGCUUGGAACGCCGAAGGUGAAAACAGGUCGCUGGGGAUGUGCCGACGCUGAGACACGAAAGCCAGGGGAGCAAACGGGAUUAGAUACCCCGGUAGUCCUGGCCCUAAACGAUGUCCACUAGAUUAUGGCGCCUUUGACGGCGUCAUGGUCGAAGCAAAAGUGUUAAGUGGACCGCCUGGGAAGUACGGUCGCAAGGCU